Molecule: long non-coding RNA, 1578 nt
Organism: Megalobrama amblycephala (Wuchang bream)
Lineage: Eukaryota; Metazoa; Chordata; Actinopteri; Cypriniformes; Xenocyprididae
Exons: 4
Source: RefSeq, a predicted model, not a curated record
UUUAUGAGAUGUGCCCCGUUUAAAAAGUGUUGACAGGAGGUAGUUGCUGUCUUUGGUUAUCUAGCUGUAUGAGUGUUUAUCUUCCUUCAUAAAGCUAGAUAACCGAAAGUAGAAACGUCCUCCUUAACUGCAUGUGGACCAGUUCAGUGGGAAGCAAUGGGAAAGUGCACGAGCUUACUGUAGCCUCUCAAACUGCAGUGUCUUUGUGAGAGACCAGAGGACUGGAGCUAAGGGAAAAAACGCCAUCUGCAACUGCCAGCCAUUUACACUGCCUUUUUGGAGCAAGAGGGAGAGAGGAAAAAAAUGGCGCAAUUGUCCAAAUGAAAGAAAAGAAAAAUAAUAGUCAACCCUCAUCCUUCUUCUACCAGCUCCCCUCCCUUCUUCUUCAACGGAAGCAUUUAGUGCCAUCUGUGCCCCCGGAGAAAAGAGGGAAAAAAAGAUAGGAGUGAGAGUCUACAUCCCAAGUGCCAAUGGGGACAAAGAGGCUGCCAGUUGCCACGGACCACCAGAUGCUGGAAGACUGCAAGUCUGAAUGAGGGGUGUGCUUUCAGGAAGCCAUCUUGAUGGAGAAACUGGCUGCUGCUCCCUAAAAUGGCUGUGUUGGCAUGAGACUCCUGAAAAAUUUCCAUCAGCUGCCGGAGAAACUGAGGCCAUCCGGCUACGUUUGACUCGCAUCACCUCAGGAAUCCAGCAUCCAGCAUCUCUUCCAGAUGGUUGGCUGUGAAGAUUAAACAAGCAGACAUGAGGGAUGGAUGGUUUUAAUUGAUUUAACUGGGUGUCUUAAAACCGUCUUUAAACAAUCACUAAUACCGGAUGGGAACAAAUUUGGGCUGUUCAUCCAGUUAAUUCUUAGAUAUUGAAAAAAUGUGUCAUACAAUCUUAUUAGUUUUGUAUAAACUGAAGAGAAUAAUGUGCCUUAAUGUGUGAAAUGUUUACUGUGAAAUUUGGCAUUAUUGAAACAAAUGUCAAUAUCUGUUAUUUUAAUGUAUUUUUAAUGCUUCAUUGUUUUACAUAAAAUGUAUGAACUUUAAUGCUAUAAGGGGCCUCAUUUAUUAAACGUGCGUACGCUAAAAUCCAUAAAAACUGUCUUUGAUGUGGAAAAGCCACGUCAGGUUCACGUCAGACUUACGCACUUUUCCUUGUGGCAGAGAACUGCAGGUAUUUGGAAAUCUAAGCAAUUCUUGCUGCUCGCCAUUCUCAAGUUAAGCAUUUGGUGCUAUUUUAUAUGCUAAUGACAUUAAUUAGGCGGCGUUUACAAGGCGGAAAUCUGAAAUCAUUCAACUGCGCACAAUUUCAAGAUCAUUUGCGAUUUCAUUUUUGUGCGUACGCACAUUUGAGAAAUGUAGGACGGUUUCUACCCAACAUUUUAUAAAUGAGGCCCUAUAUUUACAAAAUGUACAUAUUUGAUUAUAUAUAUAUAUAUAUAUAUAUAUAUAUAUAUAUAUAUAUAUAUAUAUAUACAUACAUGACUAUAUAUGGGGUUUAAUACAUGUAUCUCUGAAUUAUCAAUUUGUCUGAUUGUGUGAUGUAUGAACAAAACUACUAAUAAACAAGGAUUAAAGCUAAUGUGAAUGUUUU